UUGGGAGCUCAUUGACUUCGGAGUCAUGGGAACUCCAAAGUUAAGCGAGUUGAGGCUAGAGCAAUCCUAGAAUGGGUGACCAACUGGGAAAUUGUUCGUGAACUCCCAGA
This 110-nucleotide ribosomal RNA is filed under the name Prunus dulcis (almond). Lineage: Eukaryota; Viridiplantae; Streptophyta; Magnoliopsida; Rosales; Rosaceae. The record is from RNAcentral.